RNAcentral lists this ribosomal RNA (77 nucleotides) under Rhizobium sp. BK376. Lineage: Bacteria; Pseudomonadati; Pseudomonadota; Alphaproteobacteria; Hyphomicrobiales; Rhizobiaceae. The record is from RNAcentral.
UCCGAACACGGCCGUGAAACGCCCCUGCGCCCAUGGUACUUCGUCUUAAGACGCGGGAGAGUAGGUCGCUGCCAGGU